Molecule: long non-coding RNA, 415 nt
Organism: Salvelinus sp. IW2-2015
Lineage: Eukaryota; Metazoa; Chordata; Actinopteri; Salmoniformes; Salmonidae
Source: RefSeq, a predicted model, not a curated record
UAAAACAGUAACAGCAUCAAGAAGACCCAGCCUCCAAUCCCCAUCUCCAAGAUCGACAACAGGCUGGAACAGUACACUCAUGCCAUAGAGACGUCCUCUAAGGAAGCCAAGGCWGCCAGGCAGCAGGCUCUGACGGACCUGCCCAGCCCCAAUGAGCCUGUGGCCUCCAAGAAGAACCUGUUUGAGGCCGGAGAAGCUUGGAGCCAGACGCCCAGGGAAACACCUUCCAAGGAUACAGAGGGUCUGAACGUAGGCGUGGCCGACCUCAUCCACCAAUGGGUGAAAGGGAACCCAGACGGAAGCUGCAAAAGCCUCUCCAAGCCAGCAGAGGUGAAGGCCGGUGAUGUUCUGAGCAAGAAGAACCUCUGGGAGAACCUAGGAGACUCUUCCCCGUCUGGGAGAGCAGGGAAGGUAG